RNAcentral lists this ribosomal RNA (464 nucleotides) under uncultured bacterium. RNAcentral's name for it is "bacterial SSU rRNA". It matches the Rfam family "Bacterial small subunit ribosomal RNA", at positions 331 to 793 of the family's 1533-position model. The record is from RNAcentral.
CCAGACUCCUACGGGAGGCAGCAGUGAGGAAUAUUGGUCAAUGGGCGAGAGCCUGAACCAGCCAAGUCGCGUGAGGGAUGACUGCCCUAUGGGUUGUAAACCUCUUUUGUAUGGGGGGAAUAAGCUUUACGAGUAGAGUGAUGACAGUACCAUACGAAUAAGCAUCGGCUAACUCCGUGCCAGCAGCCGCGGUAAUACGGAGGAUGCGAGCGUUAUCCGGAUUUAUUGGGUUUAAAGGGUGCGUAGGCGGCAUUAUAAGUUAGUGGUAAAAUAUUGGGGCUUCACCUCACUACGCCAUUAAUACUGUAGAGCUAGAGAACAGACGAGGUAGGCGGAAUAAGUUAAGUAGCGGUGAAAUGCAUAGAUAUUAGGAGGAACACCAGUGGCGAAGGCGGUCUGCUGGACAGCAACUGACGCUGAGGCGCGAAAGCGUGGGGAGCAAACAGGAUUAGAUACCCUCGUAA